AACACAUUAUUUCUAAUAUAUCAUGAAAACAAAAUCAAAAGGCGGAAAAAAAAAAAAAACAGCGGAAUUUGGUUCCGCAGACAUCUCACUGUUCAUAUCAAAUUUCUUGCUGUAAUUGACUAGAUUACGUAAAAUUGAAAAUUUUAAAUCAUACUAGAUACAAUAAAGAUUAAAAGCCCUAAUUAUUGAACUCAUUUUGUUCAAAAUAUGCCGUGAAAUAAAUCAAAUGGCGGAAAAAAAAAAAAACCCAAAGUUCUUACCUGUUUUUGUGAACCGAAGCCUUCAAUCUCCAAAAAACUC
Molecule: long non-coding RNA, 300 nt
Filed under: Amborella trichopoda
Lineage: Eukaryota; Viridiplantae; Streptophyta; Magnoliopsida; Amborellales; Amborellaceae
Description: long non-coding RNA (ATRI_LNC003697)
Source: RNAcentral